AAAACUAAGUCAUAUAAGUCAGAAAGUGAUAGAUCGUGUAAAUUUGUAUGAGAUU
This 55-nucleotide non-coding RNA is filed under the name Trypanosoma brucei brucei. Lineage: Eukaryota; Euglenozoa; Kinetoplastea; Trypanosomatida; Trypanosomatidae. The record is from RNAcentral.